CUACUUACAAGCUACUCACAAGCUACUCAACCGAGCACAAGAGGCGUGGAUAGUCAGCAGCGGCGGCGCUGCUGGGCGGCGCACAGGACCCGCCCCCUGCGCCGCCCUGGAGGCGCCACAGCGGCCGCUUAGGCGGACUUGUUGGCGGGGGUCCAAGACUCGUACUUGCGCCAGUUGCGCGGCUUGGCGCUGAACCAGGAACCCUUGGGGUUGUAGCAGGUCUGCGUGCCGGUCUUGGUCAUGGAAGCCUCGAUCUG
Molecule: long non-coding RNA, 257 nt
Filed under: Chlamydomonas reinhardtii
Lineage: Eukaryota; Viridiplantae; Chlorophyta; Chlorophyceae; Chlamydomonadales; Chlamydomonadaceae
Description: long non-coding RNA (CREI_LNC000948)
Source: RNAcentral